This 479-nucleotide ribosomal RNA is filed under the name uncultured bacterium. Its description in RNAcentral is "bacterial SSU rRNA". It matches the Rfam family "Bacterial small subunit ribosomal RNA", at positions 28 to 517 of the family's 1533-position model. The record is from RNAcentral.
GGUGAACGCUAGCGGCAGGCUUAAUACAUGCAAGUCGAGGGCUCAGCAAUGGGACCGGCGCACGGGUGCGUAACACGUAUGCAACCUGCCUGUAUCUGGGGGAUAGCCCGAGGAAACUCGGAUUAAUACCGCAUACCACUGAGGGUCGGCAUCGAUUUUCAGUGAAAGAUUUAUCGGAUACAGAUGGGCAUGCGCAGGAUUAGCUAGUUGGUGUGGUAACGGCACACCAAGGCGACGAUCCUUAGGGGCUCUGAGAGGAGUAACCCCCACACUGGCACUGAGAUACGGGCCAGACUCCUACGGGAGGCAGCAGUAGGGAAUAUUGGGCAAUGGAGGCAACUCUGACCCAGCCAUGCCGCGUGCAGGAAGACGGCCCUCUGGGUUGUAAAACUGCUUUUAAGUAGGAGGAAAGUGCAGCUUGCGAGCUGUUUUGACGUUACUACUAGAAUAAGCCACGGCUAACUACGUGCCAGCAGCCG